UUCUGGUCAGUUCAGGGAGAACCAGUUAGCAGGGUGGCAAAGGCUGUUCCCCAUGACAUCAGCAGUCCCUUCUCUGGACAUUCUAUUGUAUCCUGGAGAGCUCUUGGCAUCCCCUGUGAUGUCACCAGUGUAGAGACACCAACAUCACUUAGGGCAUUCCUUCAGUGUCUGUAGGGUACACCAUAGACAUGUUGUCAAGACUGAGGAGUCUACUUGGGAGAGAGAAUUGAGAACAUCCAGAGUCCAGAGAGAGACGGAAGGAAGCUGGCAUCCAGGCUCAGAGGAAAACAGGAACAUAUAAGUGGUUCUGGCAAAGGCACACAGGGACUACUGAGGAGGCACCAUCCCAAUUCUCCACCUUCACUGCGCAGGAGCAGCAAAUGAAAAAAAAAUAAAGAAACUCACCAUUCAGUUACAUAUUAUGAUAUGUGAGAGAAACGAGCUGCGUGGAAUCCUGGCCAAUUAUACCAACAAGGAUUUGAACAACAGGGCCAUGCUUUACCACAGGCUGAAUUUUGAGCUUGAGAUGUUCAAAAUGGAACAUAAUCAGAUGAUAUCUGAGCUGCAGAAAUUGCCCAUGGAGAUCAGUGAUGCCUUGGACAACUGCAAGGGGCUGAUUGAGGAAACUGAAUCCAUCAGUUACCUCCAUGACCAGGUCCUCCGAGAUUGGACUCAGAUGAAGAAGAAUGUACAUGUGUUGAGACUCAAGAACAGACUGCUAUGGAAGGAACAGAUUGAACUGCAAGAUUCCUGUGAGGAUCUGAAGAGUCUCUUGAAGGAGGCCCAUGAGAUGAUCUGUGAGCCUUCUGCUGAUCAGCAACUGGUAGCCUGAGGCAUUGGGGACAGGCUGCAUACCUGUCCAACCAUAAAAAUAGAGACACCCAUAUAAUUAUCCAUCCAGACUCCUACCUACAUACCAUCCAAGUGUUGUUUUCUGUGAUCACUCCCAAGUCUUUCUGGAGAGUUAGCCUCUUGCAAGAAUCUGGAUAAUUGACAAGGAAACCCUCCUGCUCUGCUAGGAGCUGCAGUACAUUCAGGGAGAUGGGUCAGUCACAUAUCAAACACCUACAUGUCAUUAUGAUCAGAGGGCUGCUAUGCAGGGAGCUCCUUAGGGAACAGCACAAAGCUUUCAUUGAUGAUGUCAGUGGCCUGUGGCUCAUUUGCUUUGCAGGGGUCAUGUGAGAUCACAGGUAGGAAGCACCCUGCAGGGACUAGAGCCCAUUGCCAGUGCCAAGUGAGUGGUUCUCAUUGUCAAUGUUUUGUGUGGCAUGUGGUCUUCUCCUUUCUUCCUGCAUCCCAGUAUGUUCUCUUCCUUUUGCCAAGCUGUUGGUUCAAAGUGACAGAAGCCUGAGUAGCACCUUGUUAGCCCUUUUUCUGUGCAUGGUGCUGGACAGUUCUCCCAUCCUGGAGCUUCCAGUCUGGAGCUGACUGGAUGACCAUAGAUGUGGGAGGACUUUGACAGGGUGAGGGUUGGGGUGACAGAUUUGAAGCUUCAAGAGAACAUUUUGUUCAAUCACCUCAACAUAAUCUGACUAAGCUGUGUUCUCUUCUAGGAAUUUUUAGUCCCCAAGGGAUGGAUAGUAGUGUUGUGGGUCUCAGUUGAAACACCUGAUGUGAUUAUUCUAAAUUCAACUGUUUAUUCAGCAUGUGUCCUCUUCAUGUUUUUUUUUUUCUCACUUCUGAUUUCUGUAGUCUGUCUAUGAUCUAUGCAGGCCUGUGUAAAUGUGUACAUUGGUGGGUGUGUUCAGAGGCUACAUAAUAAAAUCUCAUGUUACCAUCUGUGGCCCACUCCCUUAUUCCCUUAGAGCCCAGGUUUUCACUGAACCUGAAAUUUUCUGUUUGGGCUAAUGGUCUGGCCAGCACUCUUUGGAUCUCCUGUCCUCCAAGGUAGACCUUCUGUCUUGUUUUGUCUCAUCCAAUUGUUACAAGUUUCAAUUGCUCAGAAAGAGGAAGAAUGGAGUAGCUUUCUCUUUUGUUUAUUUACUUUUAUUGUGCUUAUAUUAAUGUAUUUUCUAAUAAGUUACAAAAAUCAAACAAAACAACUAUUUUAAAAAUAAACAUAUCCUUGCUGACAUUGUGUUGCUGACUAUAGCAUGUGCAUGGCUGUGUCUCAGAACAGAUUCCCUCUCAUAGUUGUGCAGAGUGCUGGGUUCCUGAAAAGCACUGCAGGUGAUGUCACUGGCCUCCUCCUGACUGACAUUGGGCUGAAUUCAUAUCAUAUGCACUGUCAUCUGUUGACAACUUCCUGGGUGUUGACCAUGGGUCACUUUCUUUCACUUGAGUUAUCAAGGUCUUCUUGGAGGAGCUAGGGUAGGUUUAGUGCAGAAAUGUGAUAGAUCAACUUGGAACCUGUGGAAUCCUGGAGUGUUGGGAUGGAUUAAGUUCAUGAAAAUAAAUGUAAGUGCAGGCCAGGGUAGCAGAGCCUGGCUCAGUCUGGGAGACAGCAUCGAGGACACACAACUUCCCCCCGCAGCAGAAAAGGUUCUGCAAGUCAGCAUUCUUCUCACUGGCCAUUCUGGUUCAGGGUGUGUGUGUGUGUGUGUGUGUGUGUGUGUGAAACUCCCUGUGAUUGUCUGUAUGUGAAUACUGUCUAUUCCUUGUACAAUAGCAUUCCUUUGUAUGUGUGUAUGUGACCAUGUGUGGGUAAAUAUGUAUGUAUGUGUGUCCAUGUUUUCUGUAUGUAUGGGGGUAAGUGCUUAUGUGUGUGUUUGUGAGUUGGGUGCUUAUAUGUGCAAGUGUGUGUGGAUAUGUAAACUCUUGUGUGUAUGUGUGUUUCUGUAUAUUUAUAUGUUCACUUACUCAUCUUUACUAAUCAUGGAGUCCAGCUUUGUUGAAAAAGUACCGUGCACACUCACUUUGUAUCCAUCAAAUAUUGUAUGCUGCUGCCCAUCUUUCUGCAUGCCCACCUAGCUCUCUAGGACAAAAGGACACAAAACUACUCUAAGUCAAUGGUUUUCAGGUAUUUGUAUAGGGAAAAACAUUUAUCUUCACAGAAAUUCUUGGAGCAAACUAAAGGAAUGUGGUACAGGAAUGUGAAGAGGAGGCCACUGUGUCUGAGAGCAGCAUAGGCUGAUUGAGGGUUUGUGUCUCUUCUCUGCUCUGGGUGAAUGGUGACUGCACACUCAAUGGUCAGGUGGCUUGCUGUGUCUUCUCUGUAUCCUGUUUUGUCCUCAUCCACAUUGCCUGCUACCACUUGCUUUCCCCCUUUGUCUAACCUUGGCUCAGUUAACCUUGGCCUUGGAGCUUGGCCUGGGUGUUAGUCCUUGAGAGAUUCUGACGUGCAGUGUGCUUCCAGCUGUAUCUCAAUCCAGCAGAAGUUCCCUAGCCAUGCUGUGGUGUGAAAAUGGGGCUGUCUCAGUGCACCCCACUUAGGCUCCUGAGGGUCUAAAGCGCUCACUUUGUUCUGUAUCUGUAGCACUCAGUAACUGCUUUUCUUCAAAGUUGUUUACUCUGAAUUAAAAUCAGCCUCAAGGAAGGUUGGCAGAAAUGAGGACCCUCAGACAUUGCUGGUGGUAUAAAAUGAUAUAGCACAGUGAGAAGCCACACACAAGUAUUCAAAAAGAUGACUGCAAUCUCAGGUGACCCAGUGAUCCCAGAACAUGAAGUAGGUGUCCAGGGAGAAGCUAGGUGACAUCAGGGUUGUAGCAGCAUUCCUCAGAGUACCUCAAAGUAGAAACUAUCCAGAUGUCCAUCAUUCGAUGAGUGAAAAACUACAAUAUGGUUGGGCACCUCCAUGGAAUAUUGUUCAGCAUGAAAUAAUGCAUAAAAAUCAUUUGGCACUGAUUUAGUCAGCCAUUUGUUACUCAAACAAAUUCCUGACACAUCACUUUACAGGCAGGAAUUGUUUCUUUUAGAUUCUAGCUGUGGAGAUAUUCUAGUUUCCUGAGCUCACUGGUUUUCUAGUUUUCUAGCUCAUUUACUGUGAAGUGAGGCAGGCUGUGGUAAAGGGAGCCCCCUUUGGAGGAAGUUUCUCACCUUGGGGGCAACUGGGAAUCAGUGAACAAGACCAGUGGUCUGGUCCACCACCAUCCAGUGGUCCUGUGCUGGGGAAUGUUCCUAUGCUGCACAGCCUGGAGAACUUCCUAAGCAGGGUUGGCUCAUGGGCCAGGACCCUAGAGGGCCACCUGUCUGUGCAUUAGAUAUAUAGGAUAGACACUUCAAUGUCUGAACUGCCUGUCUCUCAUGCUCACUGUGUUGUUCUCUCUUCCAAUAAAAGUUAAUCUUCUCAAUAGUAUCCCUGCUGAUUGCCUCUUAUAUUAGCAUUAACUGGGAAACUAAACAUGUUCCUGCAUUACAGUGUGCUUGUAAGUGUGCAUACAUAUACUUGUGUGUGUUCAUGUGAUUAUAUGUAUGCAUGUGCAUGAGCAACCCUCCCCUGAGAACACAAUCUUCUAAUGAACAGGAGCUGGAAAGCCUAGAUGAAAGACUGACGGGCCUGCUGAAGCAGAAGGAGCUGGUCACCCAGCAAAGGGACUUGGCAGAAAAGCUGCAACAUCACUUCAGUGUCUAUGAGAUGAGGUCAGAAAAUCUCCAGCAUGACCUGGAACAUGUCACAGCCCAGGAUGAGAGCCUCCUGCAGACAGAGCUGCUGGAGCAGGAGCAGGAAGUAUCACAGGCAAGUGAGCCACCACAGCAUCCCAACACUCAUACUGCUGGGGCUCUUGACCUUGGCCUCUUCUGUGUGAAUAGGCCCUGAUUUUGUCUAGCCUGUGUGGGGCCAGCCAGGCUACUUGUGGGAGUGAUUGCCUUUCCUUCUCACAGAAGCUGAAGAAGCCACAAACACCUUGGAUCCAUGAAUCUCUCCACCCUCGUAUCAAGGCCUCCUCAGAUGAAGACACGCCCUCAUAGGUGUGAACUCACCAGGGAGACAAACACCAAUUGACCUCCAGGUGAUCCAGCCCCCAUCAGAUCCAUGGGUCUGUUGACUCAGUACUCCUGAAGAAAAGAAAGCAUUAAAAAUGAGCUUGAGAUACAGAAAACCUGAGACAAGAAUUACUGAGAAGUCUGACAUUCAAUAGCAAGUGGCCCCUGUGAGGGGUAUUACAACAUGGAGGGAAGAGAUGUGGUGAACAAGACAUUUUCUGACAGUUUAAUGUCGAUGGCUUUGGCAAGCUGACUUCCCUAGCUCUCCCUACAUGUGGGAAAUAUGUCAUGGAAGACUGUGUUGAUGUCUAGCUCUUCUAAAAAGACCACACCCAAAAGCAUCAUAUUUUAUUCUCCAGUCCAGUGUUGAAGCUGACUCCAUGUCAUGCACCAGUGUUGCUGAAGAAAACGCACUACAGAGGUGGCAGAAGUCCCUCAUUCCUGUGUUAGUCAUUUUUUCCCUCCAUAUGUAAAAUUUGAGGGUAUUCUUCAGUUUCACAGCCUGGCCUGAAGUGACUGGUCCUGAGAAAGAAUUUAAUAGAAGACAUCUGAGUCAUCUUUGAUCUUUGAAAAGCC
Peromyscus maniculatus bairdii (prairie deer mouse) is the source of this 5439-nucleotide non-coding RNA. The record is from RefSeq and is a predicted model, not a curated record. NCBI's taxonomy places the organism in Eukaryota, Metazoa, Chordata, Mammalia, Rodentia, Cricetidae.